AGCCGUGCGGCGGUUUGCGCGGAAAAGUAUGUUACAAGCUUGCUUGUAUAAGUACUUUUCUGUGUAAACUGACAUAGGGCGGAACGCCCGGGCUUCUUGUUUUCGUGCUUUUCGAAAACAAGAAGAUGCACGGCU
Molecule: small RNA, 135 nt
Filed under: Hungatella effluvii
Lineage: Bacteria; Bacillati; Bacillota; Clostridia; Lachnospirales; Lachnospiraceae
Description: Clostridiales-1 RNA
Source: RNAcentral